Molecule: ribosomal RNA, 253 nt
Filed under: uncultured bacterium
Lineage: Bacteria
Also listed under: 1 other name
Description: partial 16S ribosomal RNA
Rfam family: Bacterial small subunit ribosomal RNA
Source: RNAcentral
GACGAACCUUGCUAACGUUAUUCGGAAUCACUGGGCUUAAAGGGUGCGUAGGCGGCGCAGCAAGUCGGGUGUGAAAUCCCCCAGCUCAACUGGGGAAUUGCGCCCGAAACUGCUGUGCUAGAGGAAUAUAGAGGUGAGCGGAACUUAGGGUGGAGCGGUGAAAUGCGUUGAUAUCCUAAGGAACACCGGUGGCGAAAGCGGCUCACUGGGUAUUCUCUGACGCUGAGGCACGAAAGCUAGGGGAGCGAACGGG